UAGGGAAUCUUCCACAAUGGACGAAAGUCUGAUGGAGCAACGCCGCGUGAGCGAUGAAGGCCUUCGGGUCGUAAAGCUCUGUUGUUAGGGAAGAACAAGUACCGGAGUAACUGCCGGUACCUUGACGGUACCUAACCAGAAAGCCACGGCUAACUACGUGCCAGCAGCCGCGGUAAUACGUAGGUGGCAAGCGUUGUCCGGAAUUAUUGGGCGUAAAGCGCGCGCAGGCGGUCCUUUAAGUCUGAUGUGAAAGCCCACGGCUCAACCGUGGAGGGUCAUUGGAAACUGGGGGACUUGAGUGCAGAAGAGGAAAGCGGAAUUCCACGUGUAGCGGUGAAAUGCGUAGAGAUGUGGAGGAACACCAGUGGCGAAGGCGGCUUUCUGGUCUGUAACUGACGCUGAGGCGCGAAAGCGUGGGGAGCAAACAGGAUUAGAUACCCUGGUAGUCCACGCCGUAAACGAUGAGUGCUAAGUGUUAGGGGGUUUCCGCCCCUUAGUGCUGCAGCUAACGCAUUAAGCACUCCGCCUGGGGAGUACGGCCGCAAAGGCUGAAACUGCAAAUGAAUUGACGGGGUCAUAGCUGUUUCCUG
Molecule: ribosomal RNA, 590 nt
Filed under: uncultured bacterium
Lineage: Bacteria
Description: partial 16S ribosomal RNA
Rfam family: Bacterial small subunit ribosomal RNA
Source: RNAcentral